GGGGAUGUAGCUCAGUGGUAGAGCGCAUGCUUUGAAUGUAUGAGGUCCCGGGUUCAAUCCCCGGCAUCUUUA
Molecule: transfer RNA, 72 nt
Filed under: Gadus morhua (Atlantic cod)
Lineage: Eukaryota; Metazoa; Chordata; Actinopteri; Gadiformes; Gadidae
Description: tRNA-Ser (TGA) (tRNA-Ser-TGA-14-1)
Rfam family: tRNA
About the family: Transfer RNA (tRNA) molecules are approximately 80 nucleotides in length.
Source: Rfam by way of RNAcentral